Molecule: ribosomal RNA, 253 nt
Filed under: uncultured bacterium
Lineage: Bacteria
Description: partial 16S ribosomal RNA
Rfam family: Bacterial small subunit ribosomal RNA
Source: RNAcentral
AACGUAGGUGACAAGCGUUAUCCGGAUUCACUGGGCGUAAAGCGCGUGCAGGUGGUUGGGUAAGUCGGGCAUGAAAACUCUUGGCUCAACUGAGAGAGGCUGUCCGAUACUGCUCGGCUUGAGGGUGUGAGAGGGAGGUGGAAUUCCGCGUGUAGUGGUGAAAUGCGUAGAUAUGCGGAGGAACACCAGUGGCGAAGGCGGCCUCCUGGCACACUCCUGACACUCAGACGCGAAAGCUAGGGGAGCGAACGGG